Molecule: ribosomal RNA, 490 nt
Filed under: uncultured bacterium
Lineage: Bacteria
Description: partial 16S ribosomal RNA
Rfam family: Bacterial small subunit ribosomal RNA
Source: RNAcentral
AUUGAACGCUGGCGGCAGGCCUAACACAUGCAAGUCGAACGGUAACAGGAAGCUGCUUGCUGCUUUUCUGACGAGUGGCGGGCGGGUGAGUCAUGUCUGAGAAACUGCCUGAUGGAGGGGGACAACUACUGGAAACGGUAGCUAAUACCGCAUAACUUCUCAAGCCCAAAGAGGGGGACCUUCUGGCCUCUUGCCAUCGUAUGUGCCCAGCUGGGCUGAGCUAGGAGGUGGGGUAAGGGCUCCCCUAGGCGGCGAGCCCUAGCUGGUCUGAGAGGAUGAGCAGCGACACUGGAACUGAGACACGGUCCAGACUCCUACGGGAGGCAGCAGUGGGGAAUAUUGGACAGUGGGCGCGAGCCUGAUGCAGCCAUGCCGAGUGUAUGAAGAAGGCCUUCGGGUUGUAAAGUACUUUCAGCGGGGAGGAAGGGAGUAAAGUUAAUACCAUGGCUCAUUGACGUUACCCGCAGAAGAAGCACCGGCUAACUACGUG